AUUGAACGCUGGCGGCAUGCUUUACACAUGCAAGUCGAACGGGCUUGGGGGCUUGCUCCCAAGUUAGUGGCGAACGGGUGAGUAAUACAUCGGAACGUACCGUGUAGUGGGGGGUAACGUAGCGAAAGUUACGCUAAUACCGCAUACAAUCUACGGAUGAAAGCAGGGGACCUUCGGGCCUUGUGCUAUACGAGCGGCCGAUGUCUGAUUAGCUAGUUGGUGAGGUAAAGGCUCACCAAGGCGACGAUCAGUAGCGAGUCUGAGAGGAUGAUUUGCCACACUGGAACUGGGACACGGUCCAGACUCCUACGGGAGGCAGCAGUGGGGAAUUUUGGACAAUGGGCGCAAGCCUGAUCCAGCCAUGCCGCGUGAGUGAAGAAGGCCU
Molecule: ribosomal RNA, 385 nt
Filed under: uncultured bacterium
Lineage: Bacteria
Description: bacterial SSU rRNA
Rfam family: Bacterial small subunit ribosomal RNA
Source: RNAcentral